GGAGGGGGCGAGCGUUAUUCGGAAUCAUUGGGCGUAAAGGGCAGGUAGGCGGCUUUGUAUGUCCAAUGUGAAAGCCCUCGGCUCAACCGAGGAAUUGCAUUGGAAACUGCAGGGCUUGAGUCCGGGAGAGGGAAGCGGAAUUCCCAGUGUAGCGGUGAAAUGCGUAGAUAUUGGGAGGAACACCAGUGGCGAAGGCGGCUUCCUGGACCGGUACUGACGCUGAUCUGCGAAAGCCAGGGGAGCAAACGGGGGAUUAGAUACCCCGGUAGUCCUGGCUGUAAACGAUGAGCACUUGGUGUGGCGGGUAUCGACCCCCCUGCUGUGCCGACGCUAACGCAUUAAGUGCUCCGCCCUGGGAUACGGUCGCAAGGCUG
RNAcentral lists this ribosomal RNA (374 nucleotides) under uncultured organism. RNAcentral describes it as "partial 16S ribosomal RNA". It matches the Rfam family "Bacterial small subunit ribosomal RNA", at positions 527 to 896 of the family's 1533-position model. The record is from RNAcentral.